GGACUACCAGGGUAUCUAAUCCGUUUUGCUCCCCACGCUUUCGUGCCUCAACGUCAGUAACAGAAUAGUUAACUGCCUUCGCCGUUAUUGGUGUUCUCCCAUAUAUCUCUGCAUUUUACCGCUCCACAUGGAAUUCCGUUAACCUCUCCUGUACUCUAGCAAAAUAGUAUUACCAACUUCCACGAGGUUAGGCCUCGCUUUCACUGCUAACUUGUUCCGCCAUCUACGCACCCUUUACGCCCAAUAAUUCCGGAUAACGUUCGCCACCUACGUCUUACCGCGGCUGCUGGCAC
RNAcentral lists this ribosomal RNA (293 nucleotides) under uncultured bacterium. Its description in RNAcentral is "partial 16S ribosomal RNA". The record is from RNAcentral.